Long non-coding RNA from Raphanus sativus (radish), 522 nucleotides. RefSeq lists it as uncharacterized. The record is from RefSeq and is a predicted model, not a curated record. NCBI's taxonomy places the organism in Eukaryota, Viridiplantae, Streptophyta, Magnoliopsida, Brassicales, Brassicaceae. The transcript has 3 exons.
CAAAAACCCUAAUGUUUUUCUCAAUAUAUAAACAGCUUCACAAUUCACUGUCAAAAUUAUAACCCUAAAGUACUUUCUCUUUUCUCUUGAAACUUUUUCUCUAGCCGAAUCUAGUGGUGUUCCAAGAGAAAUGUGAUGAAUAUGUUCAAGAACGCUUGUCAGAAAUUGAAUCUUCUAAUGGAGAGGAUUUGACGAAAGAAAAUCUCACCCAUAAUGAGGAAAAUGAAAUCUAUUCUAAGAUUGUAAGGAACAUCAAAACAAGGUCGUAUAUUUUGACUUGGAUCACUCCAAAGAGCUGUGCCUUUAGAGUCUUCGACGGCAGCUUGAAGCUGAUCUGCUUCAACACAAAUUAGUUUGGUUUAUGGUGCUAUUUCUGGUUUUGGUUUUUUUGGUGUUUUUCUUUUUGGUUUCUAGUUCUUUUAUUUAUGAUAAUUACUAGGAUUUAUUUUCAGUUUUCAUUGUUGUUGAAAUUAAAAUAUAUUAUGAGUAUUUCAUGUUAUGGAAUUUUUAUUUUUAAUAAUU